RNAcentral lists this ribosomal RNA (253 nucleotides) under uncultured bacterium. Its description in RNAcentral is "partial 16S ribosomal RNA". It matches the Rfam family "Bacterial small subunit ribosomal RNA", at positions 524 to 776 of the family's 1533-position model. The record is from RNAcentral.
UACGAAGGGGGCUAGCGUUGCUCGGAAUUACUGGGCGUAAAGGGCGCGUAGGCGGACAGCUUAGUCAGAGGUGAAAGCCCAGGGCUCAACCUUGGAAUUGCCUUUGAUACUGACUGUCUUGAGUUCGGGAGAGGUGAGUGGAAUGCCGAGUGUAGAGGUGAAAUUCGUAGAUAUUCGGCGGAACACCAGUGGCGAAGGCGACUCACUGGCCCGAUACUGACGCUGAGGCGCGAAAGCGUGGGGAGCAAACAGG